GUAGGGAAUAUUGGGCAAUGGAGGCAACUCUGACCCAGCCAUGCCGCGUGCAGGAAGACGGUCCUCUGGAUUGUAAACUGCUUUUGAAUGGGAAGAAACGUAGCUUUGCGAAGCUAUUUGACGGUACUAUUAGAAUAAGCACCGGCUAACUCCGUGCCAGCAGCCGCGGUAAUACGGAGGGUGCAAGCGUUAUCCGGAUUUAUUGGGUUUAAAGGGUGCGUAGGCGGCUUUAUAAGUCUGGGGUUAAAGGCGGCAGCUUAACUGUACGCAUGCCCUGGAAACUGUGAAGCUUGAGUGACUUGGAGGUAGCUAGAAUUCCCUGUGUAGCGGUGAAAUGCAUAGAUACGGGGAGGAAUACCGAUUGCGAAGGCAUGUUACUACGAGUAAACUGACGCUGAUGCACGAAAGCGUGGGGAUCAAACAGGAUUAGAUACCCUAGUAGUCC
Molecule: ribosomal RNA, 445 nt
Filed under: uncultured bacterium
Lineage: Bacteria
Description: partial 16S ribosomal RNA
Rfam family: Bacterial small subunit ribosomal RNA
Source: RNAcentral